CUGCUGCCUCCCGUAGGAGUCUGGGCCGUGUCUCAGUCCCAAUGUGGCCGGCCAACCUCUCAGUCCGGCUACUGAUCGUCGUCUUGGUGGGCCGUUACCCCGCCAACAAACUAAUCAGACGCGAGGCCAUCUUAGAGCGAUAAAUCUUUGGCAGUCAGAGCCAUGCGACCCAACUGCAUUAUGCGGUAUUAGCAGCCAUUUCUGGCUGUUAUUCCCCACUCCAAGGCAGGUUCCUCACGCG
This 241-nucleotide ribosomal RNA is filed under the name uncultured bacterium. RNAcentral's name for it is "partial 16S ribosomal RNA". The record is from RNAcentral.